UACAGAGGUCUCAAGCGUUGUUCGGAUUCAUUGGGCGUAAAGGGUGCGUAGGUGGCGCCGUAAGUCAGGUGUGAAAUUUCGGAGCUUAACUCCGAAACUGCAUUCGAUACUGCCGUGCUUGAGGACUGGAGAGGAGACUGGAAUCUACGGUGUAGCGGUGAAAUGCGUAGAUAUCGUAAGGAAGACCAGUGGCGAAGGCGGGUCUCUGGACAGUUCCUGACGCUGAGGCACGAAGGCCAGGGGAGCAAACGGG
RNAcentral lists this ribosomal RNA (253 nucleotides) under uncultured bacterium. RNAcentral describes it as "partial 16S ribosomal RNA". It matches the Rfam family "Bacterial small subunit ribosomal RNA", at positions 524 to 776 of the family's 1533-position model. The record is from RNAcentral.